CAUUGACCUCGGAUCAGGUAGGAUACCCGCUGAACUUAAGCAUAUCAAUAAGCGGAGGAAAAGAAACCAACAGGGAUUGCCUCAGUAACGGCGAGUGAAGCGGCAAAAGCUCAAAUUUGAAAUCUGGCCCCGUCGGGGUCCGAGUUGUAAUUUGUAGAGAGUGUUUCGGGGGAGAUCGCGGUCUAAGUCCAUUGGAACAUGGCGUCACAGAGGGUGAGAAUCCCGUAUGUGACCGCGGAUCGAGCCCGUGUGAAACCUCUUCGACGAGUCGAGUUGUUUGGGAAUGCAGCUCAAAAUGGGUGGUAAAUUUCAUCUAAAGCUAAAUACUGGCUCAAGACCGAUAGCGCACAAGUAGAGUGAUCGAAAGAUGAAAAGCACUUUGGAAAGAGAGUCAAACAGUACGUGAAAUUGUUGAAAGGGAAGCGCUGGCAACCAGACCUGCCCGUAGGUGAUCAACCGCUGUUCUCAGCGGUGCACUCGCUCUGCGAUCAGGCCAGCAUCGGUUCGGGCGGCCGGAUAAAGGCUCGGGAAAUGUAGCUCCUCUCGGGGAGUGUUAUAGACUCCGGUGCAAUGCGGCCAGCCUGGACCGAGGACCGCGCUUCGGCUAGGAUGCUGGCGUAAUGGUUGUCAGCGACCCGUCUUGAAACACGGACCAAGGAGUCUAACAUCUAUGCGAGUGUUUGGGUGUUAAACCCAUGCGCGGAAUGAAAGUGAACGGAGGUGAGAACCCUUAAGGGCGCAUCAUCGACCGAUCCAGAUGUCCUCGGAUGGAUUUGAGUAUGAGCAUAGCUGUUGGGACCCGAAAGAUGGUGAACUAUGCCUGAAUAGGGUGAAGCCAGAGGAAACUCUGGUGGAGGCUCGCAGCGGUUCUGACGUGCAAAUCGAUCGUCAAAUUUGGGUAUAGGGGCGAAAGACUAAUCGAACCAUCUAGCUAGCUGGUUCCUGCCGAAGUUUCCCUCAGGA
Molecule: ribosomal RNA, 963 nt
Filed under: Menegazzia terebrata
Lineage: Eukaryota; Fungi; Ascomycota; Lecanoromycetes; Lecanorales; Parmeliaceae
Description: LSU rRNA
Rfam family: Eukaryotic large subunit ribosomal RNA
Source: RNAcentral